GUUUAUGUUUAUAAACAUUGCCAUCUGUUCUUGUACAUGCUGUAAUUUUCAAUUAAAUUCUAUCUCUGAUACUUUUUGAGAAAAAUGCAAGUAAAAGAAAUUGCUUCAAGGGGAUAUAACUCUCAAAGGGGAUGAUGAAAUCCUAUGCAGCCUCAUAUGGUAAUACAUCAUGAUGAGAUCUACCUAUUGUCCAAAUAAAGUCAUGAUAUCUUUUAACACAUUUUGGGGGGACGAUGUGGAAAAAAAUCACUAAAAGGGAGAUAACUUCUAAAGGGGAUGGUGAAAUCCUACAAAAGUUCAUCUGGUAAAAGUUCAUGUUGAUGUCUAUCGAUGGUUCAAUUUUGGUAUUGAUAACUCCAAUAGAAGAGGUAGGAAGGCGUGCCAAAAAAAUGCUGGAAGAAAAAAAAAGAAAAACUAGUAUCUCAAUUGUUUGUAAAACAAUUGAAAGGUCUUUCCUGUAAAAGUGAUGUUUUCGUAAUGUACUUUGUAUGACCUUUCGUUUGAUAUACGACAAGCAUACCUUCUGAAACUUUUCGCUUUUUACACUUAAUGACCUCAUCCUCCUACAUUUUUGAGACCGGAAGUAUGAUAUAUGUAACACAGGGUAGAUGAGCUUUCAUUUGAUAUGCGACAACGCCAUGUUCUAGAAAGUUUGAUUUUUGCACUUAUUACCCCAUCCAACUAAUUUUUGGAGGUCGGGAAUUUGAUAUUUUAAAUGUACACAUCACGACCUUUCAUUUGAUAUACAACAACCCUAUUGUAAAAGAAAAUUUAUUUUUUGCACUCAAUGACAUCAUCCAACCAAUUUUUGGGGAACGUCAAUUUGAAAUUUGAAAUGUACGCUUUAUGUUCUUUCAUUUGAUAUGCGACAACCUUACCAUCUGAGAAAUUUGAAUUUUUGCACUAAAUGACCCCACCCGUCCACCUGGGAUGAAAAAGAGGUUUAAAUUUUUCAUUUUUUAAGUAGAAUUUAUUGAGACCUACAAUUUGAUAUAUCAGAUGACCCCAUUUGACAAAGUGCCAAAAGUGAUGCAAUAUCAACG
This 1043-nucleotide long non-coding RNA is filed under the name Mytilus galloprovincialis (Mediterranean mussel). Lineage: Eukaryota; Metazoa; Mollusca; Bivalvia; Mytilida; Mytilidae. The record is from RNAcentral.